UCCACAACAACAGAAUCCCAAAACAACAGUCCUCAGCUGCACACGACGUUUAGCAACCUGUAGCAGCAAACGCGGAUAUAAACAGGUGUUUUUUUUUUUUUUUUAAUUCACUCACGUUUGGAGAGACACUUGGUCCAAAAGGAAGGUUUCUGUUGUGAGCCAGUGGAGCUGUGAAAUGAUUCUCUCUCUAUUCUGCCCCGAUUCCUUUCAAAUCGUUCAACGGGGCUUCCAACCGGAAAUGACUGAGCUCGGUGGCCAUGCUGUCAGAGGAUGUAUUCUCCAAAAGGAAAUGGGGCGUGUUGGAUAAGUGUCUUGGAGAACAGCUGGAUGGAUCACAGUCCUUUUUUUGUGUUGAAAAUGAAGGCUGUGAAGGCUCAGACCGCUGGUUGAGACCAAUCGGCCUAAUGACUCGUAGCACAUGUUCCCACAUUCCUGAUCAUGCUUCUGCAACACGUUAUCUGUCGUCAUUGUGUUUGGGCGACAUUACGACGAGACUUUACAAUCACGGACUUAAAAUGAUGGAAGGCCUCCAUUGAAGUAAAAAAAAAAAAAAGAAAAAAAAAAAACUCCAACACAAUAUCAGAAGGUAGAUGGAGAAAAUAAUGAAAAAUGAAACCCAUACUCACCUGCAGAUAUCUUGGAACAAUGCUGACAAAUGGCAGCAGCAGCCCGGCUGUGCUGUUUUCAUCAGAUCACAUCGUCUAUCUCACAGCGGCACCUGUCUCAGCUACCCCAUCAAAUUUCAGCAGCCCGCUGUCCUUGAGGCAAGCAGGCAGCAGCCAAAUUAUUUCCAGACUGGUUACUUCAAGGUGAAACAGCAACUGAGGUCUCAAUUAUUUCUCCGUGGCAUAUUCAGGACUGGAGCAGGAGAAUUGGAAAUGGAACGGCGUUAUGGAACCGAAUGGCCCCUUACCUCCUCGCCUAUUUUAACUUGGCAAUAAUUGCCCAGAUCACCUUGGUAAUACAUCUGCCUAGAAACAAUACGCUGUCCUAUAAAGCGAGCACAAACGAUCUGUUCGGGACAGACAUCUGCCAGCGGGGGACUUCAUUUUAACAAAAAAAAUAAAUAAAUAAAUAAAAAGGAUUUAAUGGCAGACGGUUUGGCUUUGAGUUUGUUUUUUAUUUUUUUGAAUUGGGAGUUCAUGACUCUUUCAUGUGGUCUUUAAAUAAAUAAAAAGCCUACAUUGA
Long non-coding RNA from Poecilia latipinna (sailfin molly), 1188 nucleotides. RefSeq lists it as uncharacterized. The record is from RefSeq and is a predicted model, not a curated record. NCBI's taxonomy places the organism in Eukaryota, Metazoa, Chordata, Actinopteri, Cyprinodontiformes, Poeciliidae. The transcript has 3 exons.